Molecule: long non-coding RNA, 1884 nt
Organism: Cloeon dipterum
Lineage: Eukaryota; Metazoa; Arthropoda; Insecta; Ephemeroptera; Baetidae
Exons: 2
Source: RefSeq, a predicted model, not a curated record
UAGCCAAUAAUACCAAUGAUAAUUUAAUCAUAAGCAUUAUUGGAAUAAUGUUAAUAAAUGAUGAAUAAAAAAUGAUUGCAACACAAUGUUGCGGUAAUAUUAAAAAAAUAAUGAAAAACAAAUGUAAAUAAGUUAUUAUCUUAAGCUUGUUUUAAUAUUACACCAAUGUUAAUUCAAUGAUAUCAGUGCGCAUGCGUGAAUGCGUGCGCAUCCAUGAGUCGCACACUCUGCUACUCCGUCCGCCAUCACCGCAUCAAGAAACAAACACUGAACGGCUAACGGCUACGCUUCAUGCAAUUUUCGUUUUGUUCUUCGUUCUGCGAGUCGUUUGUCUGCUCUUAAGAGUUUAAAAUACACCCAUGUAAGGAUCCUUGAUGUUAUCAACACACGCACCGUUCAGCAAAUAUUACAGGCCGGGCGAGGAUGGCUUCGACCCUGUGGAGCAGACGAUGAACGAGCUGGAAGAGGGACAAGGACAAUGCGCGGCUGGACAAGAAGAUGGCGAAGUUCGUCGGCUUUGAGCCGGGCCACUUUUCACGUCGCCGCCUAGUGCCCAAGGACAUCCACGACCCGCACCCGUUUACCUUGUGGACUUUCUCCUCAUGUUGCUGCCCUAAUCGUCUUUUCUGAUCGAGAACUACCCUAGCUCCAUGAACAUCCACCUUCCACGAAAGUGGCCCCACGUACCGCCACACCAAUAAACUACUUUGGAACUCAAAAUAAUUAAUUUUAUGUCCUUGCGUCAUGCGUUCGUGCAGAAUUGCAUUUGUAUUCACCCGGUAUUUUUCUCCACUGGUUUUUAAUUGCUGUUUGAGCAACUCAAUUUUUACCAAUUUAUUGCGCAUUAAAUUGACUUUUGUCAUUUCCUCCUAGGUAUUAAUAUUAUAUAAAAUUAGAGGUCGGAGUGGUCAAAAUUUACAAGUAGAUAUUUCCUUUUAAAUUUUCAUUUGCCUCAAUUUCUCAAUAAAUUUAUCUCAGACAAUUUUUCUAGUCGCAUGAGCAAUUUAGAAAAAUAUUGAAAACUUAAGUGAAAACAUGGCCUGCAAGAAACUGGUGAAAAUUGAUAAAAAAAACCUUAUUGCUACCACUUCACUGCAUUUUUUUUAAUUUGGGCGUUUUGGAACCUUUGGUCCUUGACUUAAAAAAUAUUAAUGACUUUUAUGAGCACUGGCACCAAAAAGGGCGGUCAGAAAUUGAUGAGGUACUUGUCAUGUGUGCUAAUGGCCUGAACUUUAUAUUAUACAGAGCCGCCAUUAUUGUUUCCCAUUUUUGUCACUGUCAAUGCGGCCCGUCGGGCCGAACGAUUUGAGAAAAUCAAAAGUGGCACUCUAAUUAAAAUUAAUUUUGCAUUUAAAUUUUUCAAAAUUCGUUAAUAACAAUGCUAGAACUGACAGUUAUUAUUAAAUGCCAAAUUAAUUUUAAUUAGUGUGUCACUUUUGAUUUUGUCGAAUCGUUCGGCCCGACGGGCCGCAUUGACAGUGACAAAAAUGGGAAACAAUAAUAGCCGCUCUGUAUAAUAUAAAGUUCAGGCCAUCAGCACACAUGACAAGUCCCUCAUCAAUUUCUGACCACCCCUUAUUCAUGCCAGUGUCGACGUCGCUCUGUGUCCCGACAGGACGACGAUUUGACUAAGUGGCCAACAUGUAUUAUGUAGUGCUGAUUUUAAGUAUUUCCCUACUUAAACCCAACGACUUUGUCUCAAUCCCUGCUGUGCACUUCAAUGUACAUUGUAAAACUAGAAUGCUGUGACUAGAGAGAAACCCAACUGUUUUAUGUGAAAUGACGUAUAAAUAAUUUUUUAUAAGUUAUAUAACUCUUCUGUGACUUACAAGUGUUACAAUAAUUUGUCUAGAUAUAAUAAAAAUAUAAAAUAAUUAAAUAAAA